This 368-nucleotide ribosomal RNA is filed under the name uncultured organism. Its description in RNAcentral is "bacterial SSU rRNA". It matches the Rfam family "Bacterial small subunit ribosomal RNA", at positions 526 to 896 of the family's 1533-position model. The record is from RNAcentral.
CGUAGGUGGCAAGCGUUGUCCGGAUUUAUUGGGUUUAAAGGGUGCGUAGGCGGCUUUGUAAGUCAGUGGUGAAAUACUCCAGCUCAACUGGAGAGGUGCCAUUGAUACUGCAGAGCUAGAGUACUGAUGAGGUAGGCGGAAUGGACGGUGUAGCGGUGAAAUGCUUAGAUAUCGUCCAGAACACCGAUAGCGAAGGCAGCUUACUAAAGAGUAACUGACGCUGAGGCACGAGAGUGUGGGGAUCAAACAGGAUUAGAUACCCUGGUAGUCCACACUGUAAACGUUGAUCACUAGAUGUUGGCGAUACACUGCCAGCGUUCCAGCAAAAGCGAUAAGUGAUCCACCUGGGGAGUACGCCCGCAAGGGUG